RNAcentral lists this long non-coding RNA (268 nucleotides) under Homo sapiens (human). Its description in RNAcentral is "non-protein coding lnc-RBM4B-3:1". The record is from RNAcentral. Lineage: Eukaryota; Metazoa; Chordata; Mammalia; Primates; Hominidae.
CCUGAGGUUCCACUGGGGAACAGAAACUGGCCCCCUGCCAGCGGGGAGCAUGGACUCUGGGCCCUGGGCUCUGUAACUAGCAGCUGGCAGCAUGAAUGGGAACGGAGUGAGCAGGGUGCACGGGAACGGCCUGCAUGAGGCCAGCGAGUUUUACUAUGAGGCUGUGGAAGGGGCCCACAACCCCGGGGGCCUCCUGCUUUCACCAGCUGCUUUCAUCAACCCUGCUCAGUAUGCCAGCGUGCUGGAAGGACGCUUCAAACAGCUGCAA